UGCGGGAUCGUCUAAUUGGCAGGACGGCUGACUCUGGAUCAGCUAGUGGGGGUUCGAGUCCUCCUCCCGCAGCCA
RNAcentral lists this transfer RNA (75 nucleotides) under bacterium. RNAcentral's name for it is "tRNA-Gln". It matches the Rfam family "tRNA". From Rfam's summary of the family: Transfer RNA (tRNA) molecules are approximately 80 nucleotides in length. Their secondary structure includes four short double-helical elements and three loops (D, anti-codon, and T loops). The record is from RNAcentral.